Molecule: non-coding RNA, 540 nt
Organism: Trichomonas vaginalis G3
Lineage: Eukaryota; Parabasalia; Trichomonadida; Trichomonadidae
Source: Rfam
UACUUGGUUGAUCCUGCCAAGGAAGCACACUUAGGUCAUAGAUUAAGCCAUGCAAGUGUUAGUUCAGGUAACGAAACUGCGAAUAGCUCAUUAAUACGCUCAGAAUCUAUUUGGCGGCGACCAACAGGUCUUAAAUGGAUAGCAGCAGCAACUCUGGUGCUAAUACAUGCGAUUGUUUCUCCAGAUGUGAAUUAUGGAGGAAAAGUUGACCUCAUCAGAGGCACGCCAUUCGACUGAGUGACCUAUCAGCUUGUACUUAGGGUCUUUACCUAGGUAGGCUAUCACGGGUAACGGGCGGUUACCGUCGGACUGCCGGAGAAGGCGCCUGAGAGAUAGCGACUAUAUCCACGGGUAGCAGCAGGCGCGAAACUUUCCCACUCGAGACUUUCGGAGGAGGUAAUGACCAGUUCCAUUGGUGCCUUUUGGUACUGUGGAUAGGGGUACGGUUUUCCACCGUACCGAAACCUAGCAGAGGGCCAGUCUGGUGCCAGCAGCUGCGGUAAUUCCAGCUUCUGCGAGUUUGCUCCCAUAUUGUUGCAG